AUGAAGGUCAAGGGGGUUCCCGGUGGACAGAAACGUGCCCUACACAGAGAGGCUGAAAAUUCAGGCCGACAUUGUGAACCCCAAGACCUGCAGCUUAGUGCAGUCGAGGGGAGGCUUGUGCAGUCCUACAACCAAAAGCCAGUGUUGUCUAGACCUCAGCACAAAUUCUACAAGGGCUCAAACUACUUUGAGAUCGAUGUCGACGUGCACUGGUUCAGCUGCAUAUCAUGAAAGGGCCUCGAGACCUUCCGAGAGCGGCACAAAGAUGGCGUCAUCGAUCUUGGGCUGACCAUUCAGGUACUUACGUUUCCUUGUGUUCUUAGCCUUGGGACUAGUUGGCAUGAGGAGUAUUUUGUUCAGAGGAAGGCUAAAGUAUGA
Molecule: ribosomal RNA, 378 nt
Filed under: Triticum aestivum (bread wheat)
Lineage: Eukaryota; Viridiplantae; Streptophyta; Magnoliopsida; Poales; Poaceae
Description: partial small subunit ribosomal RNA
Source: RNAcentral